GAGUGCUACUGAUGCCGGGACAUUUCUGCCCAAGGCAGUGUCAUCCGUCAGAUCGGGAGGCUGGUGAACAUCUGCUGCUUCUUCAGGGCAGGUGGCAACAGCAUCGGGGGAGGACGGCUCCACUGGUCCCCUUGCAGGUGACCCAGUAGCAGCUGCUCCUCCCGCUCGGCUGUUCCAGGGAGCAAAGGAAUCUGUUUGUCUGCGAAAAAGAAUGUGGCAGAGGCAGAAAGCGGCCUCGGGCAGCCCAGGCAGCCUCAACAGCUACAGAGCCGGCCAAGACCAGCCAGACACCCAGGAGAGUCACCCAGAGGCCUAGAGGCCAAGGUCACAGACUCAGACACACCCUUCCCCCUCCCCUCCCCAGGCAGCCCUGCUCUUCCAGGUGCCAGGCUGGCGGCCUCAAUGCACGGAACAGGGACCCACCCUCCCGAGGAUGCAUGUGGCGCAGUGCCUAGCACACUGGAGGACCUGGGAAAGGUGGUCUUGAGCUGGUUUCUAAGAACUGACUGUCAAGUAAUUACCACCUAAGGUCUCGCUGACAUAUUUCAGCCCUCCUUACUGUUCUCGUCAGUUUUGCGAAGAGACCAUCCUCUCCUCCCUUCUGGCUCAGCGGUCAUAAACUUGGUUCUUUAGCGUGGACUCCGGUUCCCUUCCCUCCGGCCCAGGCCAGGCAGUGAAGUCUGAUGGGCCGAUGGAACAUCACGUGACGAGAGGAAAUACAUACAAGAAGUGUGUCCACCAUUUCUUAUUGCCCUGUUAGCCUUGGGGUUCAUGAUGCCCCAUGAGCACAGAAUUCUGGUGAACCCACAAGGCAUGGGAGUUCAGUGAGACUCAAGGCAAAUGCAAAAACCGGAGGUUUCCACUUCCUGCCUCUUAGAGCCCUGAGCCACCGGGAAAGAAGUCCAGGCUACUCUGCUAGAGAGAGACGUCAUGUGCAAGAGUACUGGGGCACCAGACACGUGAGUGCAGAAGCCACCUUGAAGGUCCAGUGCAGUCGAGCCUUCAGAUGACUCC
Molecule: long non-coding RNA, 1014 nt
Organism: Balaenoptera acutorostrata (minke whale)
Lineage: Eukaryota; Metazoa; Chordata; Mammalia; Artiodactyla; Balaenopteridae
Exons: 6
Source: RefSeq, a predicted model, not a curated record